ACGAACGCUGGCGGCGUGCCUAAUACAUGCAAGUCGAGCGGACAGAUGGGAGCUUGCUCCCCUGAUGUUAGCGGCGGACGGGGUGAGUAACACGUGGGUAACCUGCCUGUAAGACUGGGAUAACUCCGGGAAACCGGGGCUAAUACCGGAUGCUUGUUUGAACCGCAUGGUUCAAACAUAAAAGGUGGCUUCGGCUACCACUUACAGAUGGACCCGCGGCGCAUUAGCUAGUUGGUGAGGUAACGGCUCACCAAGGCAACGAUGCGUAGCCGACCUGAGAGGGUGAUCGGCCACACUGGGACUGAGACACGGCCCAGACUCCUACGGGAGGCAGCAGUAGGGAAUCUUCCGCAAUGGACGAAAGUCUGACGGAGCAACGCCGCGUGAGUGAUGAAGGUUUUCGGAUCGUAAAGCUCUGUUGUUAGGGAAGAACAAGUACCGUUCGAAUAGGGCGGUACCUUGACGGUACCUAACCAGAAAGCCACGGCUAACUACGUGCCAGCAGCCGCGGUAAUACGUAGGUGGCAAGCGUUGUCCGGAAUUAUUGGGCGUAAAGGGCUCGCAGGCGGUUUCUUAAGUCUGAUGUGAAAGCCCCCGGCUCAACCGGGGAGGGUCAUUGGAAACUGGGGAACUUGAGUGCAGAAGAGGAGAGUGGAAUUCCACGUGUAGCGGUGAAAUGCGUAGAGAUGUGGAGGAACACCAGUGGCGAAGGCGACUCUCUGGUCUGUAACUGACGCUGAGGAGCGAAAGCGUGGGGAGCGAACAGGAUUAGAUACCCUGGUAGUCCACGCCGUAAACGAUGAGUGCUAAGUGUUAGGGGGUUUCCGCCCCUUAGUGCUGCAGCUAACGCAUUAAGCACUCCGCCUGGGGAGUACGGUCGCAAGACUGAACUCAAGGAAUUGACGGGGGCCCGCACAAGCGGUGGAGCAUGUGGUUUAAUUCGAAGCAACGCGAAGAACCUUACCAGGUCUUGACAUCCUCUGACAAUCCUAGAGAUAGGACGUCCCCUUCGGGGGCAGAGUGACAGGUGGUGCAUGGUUGUCGUCAGCUCGUGUCGUGAGAUGUUGGGUUAAGUCCCGCAACGAGCGCAACCCUUGAUCUUAGUUGCCAGCAUUCAGUUGGGCACUCUAAGGUGACUGCCGGUGACAAACCGGAGGAAGGUGGGGAUGACGUCAAAUCAUCAUGCCCCUUAUGACCUGGGCUACACACGUGCUACAAUGGACAGAACAAAGGGCAGCGAAACCGCGAGGUAAGCCAAUCCCACAAAUCUGUUCUCAGUUCGGAUCGCAGUCUGCAACUCGACUGCGUGAAGCUGGAAUCGCUAGUAAUCGCGGAUCAGCAUGCC
RNAcentral lists this ribosomal RNA (1345 nucleotides) under Bacillus subtilis. Its description in RNAcentral is "bacterial SSU rRNA". It matches the Rfam family "Bacterial small subunit ribosomal RNA", at positions 29 to 1358 of the family's 1533-position model. Lineage: Bacteria; Bacillati; Bacillota; Bacilli; Caryophanales; Bacillaceae. The record is from RNAcentral.